UGUUGACUCCGAGGACUUUGAAUUUGUUUGAUAUUUUGAAUGCGGAUAAAUUGAUUCUGACGCCAGAGAUUGUGGAUUAUCUGAAUGCGAGAUAUGGGUUGAAUUAUGAGGGCGACGAUGAGGACGAAGAAGGUGCAGAGGAACAAGAUGAAGAAGAAGGAGAAGGAGGAAGUGAAGUUCAAGGUUAAGUCUUUUUAUGUCAUUUGCUUUAUCUUUGAAACUCGUUUGAUACUCUUUAAUUUGGGUUGUUUACUUUCGAUGCAGUUGUAGUUCCAGUUUUUGAAUUUGUGAAUGCAUUUUGGGUUUGAUUUAAAAUUUGGAUUGAGCAUAAGAGCUCUUGUAUGCAUUUUCAUACAAUUCAUGUCUAUGCUACUUUUAUGUAAUUGGGGUCAUAAGAGUAGAUUUUUUUUUUUUUUUUUUAGGGCAAUGUGCAUCACUUGGCAUGGUACAUAUGUUAGGGAUCCUUUAGCUCAGUUGUUUAUUUAUUAAGCUCAUAUUUGUUGAUUCUUCUGAGUUGGAACCUCUAGUUAAGAUUCAUAAUGGACCUCUAGUUGAUUCUUGCAAGUGACUUGUAGCUCAAGUGGUUAAAAGCAGUUGUAAUACUCGAAGUCCUGAGUUCGAAUCCACUCCCCAUUUUCGCUUAUGUAAAAAGGGCUAGUUUGUAUUGAACUUUGGCUAUCAUAAAAAUGGAAGAUUUAAUCAAACAUUUCUCACAUUUUUUAUAUUCAAGCAGCCAUACAUGUUAUGUUUUGUGUUACAUGAAAGUUGCUGGCUUUUGCAACUUUAUGGAGCAAAGUUGUGUAUAGGAUGGUCUUUCAUUUUGUUGAUCUGUUUUCUUUAAUUUGGGAUGCAGGAGCUGUGUCAGAGGAGAGUUCUGAUGCAGCAGAGUGAUGACACAGAAUGAAGAGUUUUUGUAACCACUUUUUGGCCCCAGAAGAUAACCUAGGAUUCAUUUCGACUUAUCCCUAGUCAAGGGUUUGUGCCUUUUUGGAAGUGUCAACCAUGCUUCGUUCAGAUUGCAGGCUGGUUUCGAAGAUUCACUGUGCAUGAU
Molecule: long non-coding RNA, 1051 nt
Filed under: Prunus persica (peach)
Lineage: Eukaryota; Viridiplantae; Streptophyta; Magnoliopsida; Rosales; Rosaceae
Description: long non-coding RNA (PPER_LNC005632)
Source: RNAcentral